RNAcentral lists this unclassified non-coding RNA (322 nucleotides) under Hevea brasiliensis (rubber tree). The record is from RNAcentral. Lineage: Eukaryota; Viridiplantae; Streptophyta; Magnoliopsida; Malpighiales; Euphorbiaceae.
UCGCUAUUCAGCUUACACAAUUCAUCUCCAUCCUAUAUAUGCCCUUAUCACUCCAUCUUCGACUCUCAUCCUUCCUCUCUCAUCGUUCUUUAACAUUUCUAAACACCAUCUCCUCCCCGUUGAAUUGUACUUCAUAUCUUCUUUGAAGCUUUCAAGCAGGCUUAGAAAUGGCGAGGCAAACCCAUGUAGCAUCUGCCUUGGAGCUCAUCAAACAGCAUUUACUAGGUGAUCUUCUCUCACCUGUUGGUAUCUCUUGUUCCUCUUCUGCUUCUACCACCUCUCUAAUUGAUAAUGUAAAUAUAGAGUAUGACUGCUCCCGGGC